Entelurus aequoreus (snake pipefish) is the source of this 1580-nucleotide long non-coding RNA. RefSeq lists it as uncharacterized. The record is from RefSeq and is a predicted model, not a curated record. NCBI's taxonomy places the organism in Eukaryota, Metazoa, Chordata, Actinopteri, Syngnathiformes, Syngnathidae. The transcript has 3 exons.
GAGCACAUCGAGUUUGCAAGCACAUUUCCUCCUCGGAUUGAACGUUAAGUGUUUGGAUCUCACACAGAAUGCGUCUGUCUGUUCCAAAAAAAAAAAAAAAAGAAAAAGGCAGAGAAUGAACUGUAUAAAGAAAGACAAGAAAAUCGAUCUAUUUGAGCAGGCAAACUUAUUUAUGUUGCCUAUAGGUGAUGAAGAAAGAAAUCUAACUUUAUGCAAAUGAGGCAAAGCUCUCAACCUGGUGGAUUACUGAGUCAGAGAGCAGGACCCGGGUGAGCAGACCCUCCACAUAAGACCCCAUAAAAAGCCGCAGAUGCGUGGCUGCAUGCAUGCAACACUCACCGGAGGAACUUGUGCCCGGUAAUUAUAUUGACGUUUUGGAACAAAUGUGUGAGGAUGCUGCGAGAGGAUGGACGGGAACGACAGAAGGCCCAGUCAAGAUGGAGCAAAAGCGCAUGGAAUAUGAAGUACCUUCCUGCAUCACUGCUGGUUCAGUACCCUGAGAGAUGUUAAGAGAAGGCUGAAGGGCCGAGGUGCCGAACUGCCACCUGAACCACGAACCAUUCCAGCAAAAAAGGGCCAAAAUCCGAGGAGAACAGCAUGGUUUGGUCUUAAAUCCUCCAACUUAACUCCUCGCUAUUCUUUCCCCCCCUUUCAAGAAUGUGAGUGGAAUUCUAUUCCUGCACCAUGAGUGCUUUUAUGCAGGAAGCCAUCCUGCCAGCCUGCAGCCAUUAUUUAGAUCCAUUCAAACAAAGACAUCACUGAAUCACUUUCAUCUCUGAAUGUAUUGAUCCUGCACAGAUACAAGCACAUAACUCCUCUAAUGACAUGUUUGAGUUUUUUACCUCCCUCUGAAUGUCAUAAAAGCAAUGCUGGGGCGAAACAAUCCCAAGUGAUGCAUGGCUUGCUUGAGAGUCCAGCAACUAAACACAACAUGCAGCGUAAAAUUGGGGUAGAUCUGGGGCCUCGGGUAUUAAAUUGCAUGCCAUCUAUUGUGGCCUGGUUUGAAAAUAAAGUUAUUUUAGUACUUGAAAAAUGAUGGGUUAUAGGAUAUUUACUAAGGUAUUAUAUACUUUUUUUUGCAUUUAACAUGUGAAAUAAAAAAAACGUUUUGUAUUCAAGUGAUACAUUAUAUUUAUCACUUACCAAAAUAAGUGUUACACUUUUCCAAAGAUUUUGAAAAUCAACACAUUUAAAGUUGUUUCCCAUCAUUGUUAUUCAUGGUGUGUUUCUUUCUUAAACCAUGAGAAUAUUUUUGAGUAAUAAAUAUUGUCUUACUAAUCAAGCAUUUUGAAUAAUAUCAUUACACAACUCAACAUAUAGGUUGACAUUUUGACUGGAAAGGGAAUGAAAAUGUGUGCUCUACACAACAAAAUAACAGAUGCCAUUAUGUUUGAAUAUGUGACAUCCAGGAGUUGGUAAUAAUUAGAUGUAUAAAUUCAUAUUGUUUAUAAAUAGAUAGUGUGAAACUGUUUAACUGUUUUUGAGGACGUGUAUUAUUAAAUGUAUGCAUGCUUUUUUCAUUAAACAAACGUAUGUUGUGUUUUUUAUUUCCUUUAUUUUUAUUUACGACAAUUGGAAAA